Molecule: small RNA, 398 nt
Filed under: Histoplasma capsulatum
Lineage: Eukaryota; Fungi; Ascomycota; Eurotiomycetes; Onygenales; Ajellomycetaceae
Also listed under: 1 other name
Description: hypothetical RNA
Source: RNAcentral
AGCAUCUGCUAUUCAUGUCCUGGCAUUGAAAGAGUUUGUAGCUUUCUCCAAAGCCAUUCGCAGGUACGAAGUAAAUGGCAGACUCUUUCCCGAACGUGGAAACUAAGUGGAACAAACAUUGUGUUUUACUGUCGUCUCUCACAUCGGCCUCUCUUCCCCCUUAUCUUUGACCUCGAUGAAACUUAGCUUCCAAGCAUUGCUUCAAGCUUUCAAGUCCCACUGGCGAGGCUCCGCUCCUCCUGGAGUACAAAUAGGGCACCUGAUCCCUAUUUGCGGUGGCAUUCUCCUUUUCAAAUAACUGUUAUGAUCAAGAGUUACUCAUCUAUCUUUUGAUUAGAUGAUCAGCACUUUGGGAGUUAAUUGCUGUUAACUGGACACAAGCUGCUGAGAAAGUCAUG